Molecule: unclassified non-coding RNA, 237 nt
Filed under: Bactrocera latifrons
Lineage: Eukaryota; Metazoa; Arthropoda; Insecta; Diptera; Tephritidae
Description: uncharacterized protein DDB_G0271670, transcript variant X1
Source: RNAcentral
AAUAAUAAGUGCACGUUUUGUUUCGCUGUUAUAUGGGGAAAAUCUAUUUUAAGUACUUUUGUCUAAAUUUACCACGAGAAGGGGCAAGUUCAAUAUCCAAAAUGAAAGGUCCAGUCUUCCGGACUAAAAAGAAAACCCGUCUACUCACUUUAAACACAAAUCACACAUUUAUCCAGUAGGGUGAAACCAAAUUUUUGUAUGGAAGCUUUUUUUUAAUAAAAUAUCGAAAAAAAUUUA